UGGGGGAUAUUGCACAAUGGGCGAAAGCCUGAUGCAGCGACGCCGCGUGGGGUAUGAAGGCUUUCGGGUUGUAAACCUCUUUCGCUAUCGAACAAGGCCCGCUUAGGGUGGGUUGAGGGUAGGUGGAGAAGAAGCGCCGGCUAACUACGUGCCAGCAGCCGCGGUAAUACGUAGGGCGCGAGCGUUGUCCGGAAUUAUUGGGGGUAAAGGGCUUGUAGGCGGCUUGUUGCGCCUGCUGUGAAAACGCGGGGCUUAACUUCGCGCGUGCAGUGGGUACGGGCAGGCUUGAGUGUGGUAGGGGUGACUGGUAUUCCAGGUGUAGCGGUGGAAUGCGCAGAUAUCUGGAGGAACACCGAUGGAGAAGGAAGAUCACUGGGCCAUUACUGACACUGAGGAGCGAAAGCAUGGGUAGCGAACAGG
Molecule: ribosomal RNA, 420 nt
Filed under: bacterium
Lineage: Bacteria
Description: partial 16S ribosomal RNA
Rfam family: Bacterial small subunit ribosomal RNA
Source: RNAcentral